This 370-nucleotide long non-coding RNA is filed under the name Theobroma cacao (cacao). RNAcentral's name for it is "long non-coding RNA (TCAC_LNC002878)". Lineage: Eukaryota; Viridiplantae; Streptophyta; Magnoliopsida; Malvales; Malvaceae. The record is from RNAcentral.
AUUAAACAAAAAAAAUCAUACCAUGAAGUUUGUAUGUAAUUUUAUUGAAAAGCUAAAUUUCAUUCAAAUAUGAUAUUUACAUAUUACAAAAAAUGCAGAUCUACCAAAAAAAAUUUACAACAUCCCCCUUUAAGGGAAGUCAAUCAGUAUCCCAAAAACCACAUGGAGGUAAGAAACCUCUAUUCAUAAAAAAAAACACAACUUCUACACAAGAAGACCUAGCGAAAACCCAAAGCAUGAGAUGAAAUCAGAAAAGCCACAACACAAGCCAAUAACAGAUUGUACAUCAAGGUCAAUGUUGUUGAUUUCUCACGCAAGUGCACGUAUUGCAAACAAAUAAUAUAAUGAUGAAGUAGAGCAUCGUUCUUAC